CUCUCUCUCUCCCUCUCUGCUCUCUGCGUCCACGCCGCCGCCUCUCCUCCCCUUCUCGCUCUCCGCCUGCCUCCGUCGUCCCUCCCCGCCGCCGCUCCUCCUGUUCACCACCGUCGCCCGCUCCUAGAAGCUCUGGAUCUGGCGGUGGGGUGUGGCUUGGAGGAAGGGGGGAUCCAGAUCCGGCAGCGCUGGCCGGCCGAUGCCGGUGCUUGGGCGAGCAGGACAGCCCCGCUCUCACCGUGGGCACCGCCCCUCCCCACCCCCCCCCCCCCUCACUGUGGCGCUCCUCCCCUCCGGGAUCCGGCAAGGGCGAGGCUCGCAGCACCGGCAGCGCCGGCCUGGCUGCCUCGUGGAGCGGCGGCUCCUCCCCUCCGGGGUCCGGCGAGGGCGCGGCUCGCAGCACCGGCGGUGCCGGCCGGGCUGCCUCGUGGAGCGACGGCUCCUCCCCUCCGGAUCCGGCGAGAGCCGCGGCUGGGCGGGCAGCGGGGGCCGCGGCUGCAGGGCCGGCGUGGCACCCCCACCUUGUCUUCCGGUGCAGGAAGGAUGGACACGCUGCUAUGCUGAAGAAGGAAGAACUGCUCGUGCCAAUCAGCUUAGCCAUAUCCUUGCGUGAAUUAAGGUAGUGCUCCCCUUCCUCCUUCCUUUAGCUUCGUACAUUGCACCAGUAGGUUUGUGAACCUGUCCUUUUUCUCUUACUCAUCAAUUGUGUAUAGAAUUAAAAUAAGCUACUGUUAGUACAAAAUGUUCCAAGGUUCUCCAUACAUUUAGCAGGGAGAUUUUCUAUUUGGGUUGUUUUGCUAACCUGAACUAUUGUUGUGUCUAUACUGAGAUAAUUGGAGGAUGUAUUAGACUCUGCACCAGUUCUAGAGGUAAGACCAGAGGUAUGUGCAAUUGCCCUUUUUUUUCUUACUGAAUCACCAAUCAUCUAUAGAAUUAAAACACUCUGCACCAGUUCUAGAGGUAAGACCAGAUGUAUGUGCAAUUGCCCUUUUUUUUCUUAUUGAAUCAUCAAUCAUCUAUAGAAUUAAAACACUCUGCACCAGUUCUAGACGUAAGACCAGAGGUAUGUGCAAUUGCCCUUUUUUUCUUACUGAAUCAUCAAUCAUCUAUAGAAAUAAAACAAGGUUUUAACUGUAGUAGAAAAUGUUUUGUGCAGGAGAACACCCCUUGCGUUUUGUGGAGGAGAACACCCGGUGCCCCAAAAUCUCCGGAUAAUUCAGCGAAUCCUCAGAGCGAGAGGUACAGAAUUGGUGAGUGAGACUUCCACCCCUCUGAUUCAUUACCAAUAUAAACAACCGGAUCCAAUAUUCAUUAUUUCUAUCACCAUCCUGUGAGGCUAUGUCAUGUUUGCGUUCAGAAAUCAGCAGCAAGUUAUCAUGACGACGUGAUCUGGGAAAACAGCUCUCCACUGCUUGCUUGCUCAGCCUCCUCUUUUUCCUCUGAAGUUCUAUCAUAUAAAAAGUUUCUUAAUUUUGGAUAGGCCACUGAAAACUUAUUUGUUGUCGAAAUGGGUUAGUCACAUGUUUAAAGGAAAUGGCUGCCAGCCUUCCUGUGCGCCGGUUAUUUUUCUUUUAUUGGUGUGAAAUGUUUCUUUUGUCGUAAUGUCAUCUGAAUUUUUAUUCAUUGUGUAUAUUAGCCUUAGUGUAAUUUCUUUACCCAGCAGGCCAUCUACUGCUUGCAUGCGCUUCCUUUUUUUUAAUCCAAUAAAGCUGUGUAAUUUCCCAAGGUAAUAUUGUUGCUGCCUUUUGGUCUGUGCUUGGUAAUUCUCUUCCAUUAAAAGGGGGUAUACUUUCCUGAUGAGCUUGAAUUUAGUAUGCUUGAUAAUAAGUUCAACACCCAAACUAGGCAUAGAUAAUCUUAAUGAGCCGAAGCAUUAGUUUGCAAGAAAGGAAUUUAUUGACUAUUGAUAUCCAAACCUCGUGGUCUGCAGGUAGAUUUGGAGGAGUAUAUGGGCAGUCAAAGCUUUCAAACAUCUUGCAUGCUAAUGAACUUGCAGGUGAUUUAAGGUAUGUCAUUCUCCGUCUAAUACAUGACCUUUUAUUUUUUGGUGCAAGUAUUGUACAUUUAUGUGAUAAGGACAUAAGGUAGAGCAGUAGACAUUGCUUUUUUAGUUCAGUCUGUUUUCCCCCCAUGCUACCACAUUAAUGCAGACCUUUUACUGAUUGGGCUUCCUACUGCUACGCUAUGGUUAGUUUUUUUUUUGGAGCGUGCUAAACUUUUUUUACUUCAUAAAUUGUUAUUCCUGUUGUUUACUUUUGAUUGUGGAAAGAAGCCGAGAAGGCUAUCCAUCAGGUUUAAGAGGCUUGGUAUGGUUGAGAUCCCAAGAUAUUCUCUCAAUUUGCCUUGAAUGCUGCUUACAAAAAUAGUCUCUGUUUGGCUUGAAUACAACCUGCAACAGGACUUAUUUCAUCAUUAUUAAUUGCCUAUCAUUUUUCAGAUUUAAAAAACGUAAUAGGAGAAUGUGCAGACUGCCCAUAAUGUGAUCCUCAUGCAUUUUACUGCUGGGUUUGUGACUACACAUUGACUUUUGGACCUAUGUAGGUUUUCUAAUUUAUCAGUACCUGCAUCAAGCCACCAAGGUUAGCUUAUAGGAGGCCUAAUUAUCAUUGCUCAGGUGUAUACAAAAUUCUUACUUUCACUUGCAUUGUAGACUAUGGAUAUGAGCAGUAGACUUAUGUAGUUACCUGCAACUUCGUUAUUCAGAAUGCUGAAGUUUAGACAGUACAAUAUUAUCAGAAUGAAAUUAGAGAAGUGGUCCUAAACUAAGCUGGUCGACAAAUAGAUGUAUUAACACUUCCCAUAUCCAUUCCCUUGACAGAAGCAGGAAGAUAUGCUCUUAUAGUCUUAUUAUUAUAAAUGUUUUCCAUAAGUUAUUUUUUUUCCUCUACGACCAAGCCACAGAAGAGCAAGGAAGAGGUUGGCCUCCCAUGCACAAGCUCUUUUUCUUAUCAGCAUCAGAUAGGAAGGAUGCUUAGUCACAAGAAUGGAGAAUUGGAGCUGAGAUUCAUUCCGACUCAAUAAUUUUUUAUGGAUUAUUCAGCUACACCAUACUGUGGCAUUACUGUUGUGGUUUAUGUAUUGUUCAAGGCAUAGUUUUUUCCUGAAAUGAGUCGAAGGCAUAGUUAAGAUAACCUGUAAUUGCUUGUGCAUGAACUUAUGCUGCUUAUAGUAAAAUUAUCGACCUUGUAUUAGUAAGUGAUUUAUGGUAUCAGUUACAUAAUGCCUUUUCAUGUAUAAGCUCCUAUCUUUGUUAAAAUACAAAUCCAUUCAUAUUGUUAGGCUUUCACUGUGGCA
Molecule: long non-coding RNA, 3294 nt
Organism: Panicum virgatum (switchgrass)
Lineage: Eukaryota; Viridiplantae; Streptophyta; Magnoliopsida; Poales; Poaceae
Exons: 3
Source: RefSeq, a predicted model, not a curated record